UUUUGAGAGAAGCGAAGAGGUCACACCCGUUCCCAUGCCGAACACGGAAGUUAAGCUCUUCAGCGCCGAUGGUAGUCGGGGGUUUCCCCCUGUGAGAGUAGGACGCCGCCAAGC
This 114-nucleotide ribosomal RNA is filed under the name Bacillus velezensis. Lineage: Bacteria; Bacillati; Bacillota; Bacilli; Caryophanales; Bacillaceae. The record is from RNAcentral.